GCUCAGGACGAACGCUGGCGGCGUGCUUAACACAUGCAAGUCGAACGAAGCACCUUGAUUUGAUUCUUCGGAUGAAGAUCCUGGUGACUGAGUGGCGGACGGGUGAGUAACGCGUGGGUAACCUGCCUCAUACAGGGGGAUAACAGUUAGAAAUGACUGCUAAUACCGCAUAAGACCACAGCACCGCAUGGUGCAGGGGUAAAAACUCCGGUGGUAUGAGAUGGACCCGCGUCUGAUUAGGUAGUUGGUGGGGUAACGGCCUACCAAGCCGACGAUCAGUAGCCGACCUGAGAGGGUGACCGGCCACAUUGGGACUGAGACACGGCCCAAACUCCUACGGGAGGCAGCAGUA
This 352-nucleotide ribosomal RNA is filed under the name uncultured bacterium. RNAcentral describes it as "bacterial SSU rRNA". It matches the Rfam family "Bacterial small subunit ribosomal RNA", at positions 22 to 356 of the family's 1533-position model. The record is from RNAcentral.